Molecule: non-coding RNA, 388 nt
Organism: Dipodomys ordii (Ord's kangaroo rat)
Lineage: Eukaryota; Metazoa; Chordata; Mammalia; Rodentia; Heteromyidae
Source: the annotation of a RefSeq genome assembly
UUCACUCCUAAAAAUGAAGUCCUUGUCUCAGCUCCUGUGGCUGUUAAUGCUCUGGAUCCCUGCAUCAAGUGGAGAUGUUGUGCUGACCCAGACUCCCCUCUCCCUGUCUGUCAUGCUGGGAGAGCCGGCCUCCAUCUCCUGCAAGUCUAGUCAGAACCUCCUAUAUAGCAAUGGAAAUACCUAUUUGAAAUGGUUCUUGCAGAAACCAGGCCAGUCUCCAAAACUCCUGAUCUAUGAGGUCUCCAACCGAUUUCCUGGGGUCCCAGAUAGAUUCAGUGGCAGUGGGUCUGGCACAGAUUUCACUCUCAAAAUCAGCAGGAUGGAUAUUGAGGAUAUUGGAGUUUAUUACUGCUUUCAACAUACACAUUGGCCUCCCACAGUGAUAUAG